AGCGAACGCUGGCGGCAGGCCUAACACAUGCAAGUCGAGCGCCCAGCAAUGGGAGCGGCAGACGGGAUAGUAACACGUGGGAACGUACCCUUCAGUUCGGAACAACCCAGGGAAACUUGGGCUAAUACCGAAUACGUCCGUAAGGAGAAAGAUUUAUCGCUGAAGGAUCGGCCCGCGUCUGAUUAGCUAGUUGGUGAGGUAACGGCUCACCAAGGCGACGAUCAGUAGCUGGUCNGAGAGGAUGAUCAGCAUCACUGGGACUGAGACACGGCCCAGACUCCUACGGGAGGCAGCAGUGGGGAAUAUUGGACAAUGGGCGCAAGCCUGAUCCAGCCAUGCCGCGUGGAUGAUGAAGGCCCUAGGGUCGUAAGUCCUUUCGACGGGGAAGAUAAUGACGGUACCGUAGAAGAAGCCCCGGCUAACUUCGUGCCAGCCGCCGCCGUAAC
This 446-nucleotide ribosomal RNA is filed under the name uncultured bacterium. Its description in RNAcentral is "bacterial SSU rRNA". It matches the Rfam family "Bacterial small subunit ribosomal RNA", at positions 29 to 524 of the family's 1533-position model. The record is from RNAcentral.